GUGCACCAGUCGAGAAUUUUUCUCAAUGGGGGAAACCCUGAAGGAGCGACGCCGCGUGGAGGAUGAAGGUCUUCGGAUUGUAAACUCCUGUCAUUAGGGAACAAAUCUUCCAAGUAACUACUGGAAGUCUGAUAGUACCUGAAGAGGAAGAGACGGCUAACACUGUGCCAGCAGCCGCGGUAAUACAGAGGUCUCAACCGUUGUUCGGAUUCAUUGGGCGUAAAGGGUGCGUAGGCGGCGGAGUAAGUCAGGUGUGAAAUCUCGGGGCUCAACCCCGAAACUGCACUUGAUACUGCUUCGCUUGAGUAUUGGAGAGGAGAUUGGAAUUUACGGUGUAGCAGUGAAAUGCGUAGAUAUCGUAAGGAAGACCAGUGGCGAAGGCGAAUCUCUGGACAAUUACUGACGCUGAGGCACGAAGGCCAGGGGAGCAAACGGGAUUAGAUACCCCGGUAGU
RNAcentral lists this ribosomal RNA (454 nucleotides) under uncultured organism. RNAcentral describes it as "bacterial SSU rRNA". It matches the Rfam family "Bacterial small subunit ribosomal RNA", at positions 346 to 794 of the family's 1533-position model. The record is from RNAcentral.